Molecule: ribosomal RNA, 1057 nt
Filed under: uncultured bacterium
Lineage: Bacteria
Description: bacterial SSU rRNA
Rfam family: Bacterial small subunit ribosomal RNA
Source: RNAcentral
CUCCUACGGGAGGCAGCAGUGAGGAAUAUUGGUCAAUGGGCGGAACCCUGAACCAGCCAAGUAGCGUGAGGGAAGACGUGCCCUACGGGUUGUAAACCUCUUUUGUUUGGGAAUAAAGUGCGGGACGCGUCCCGCAUUGCAUGUACCAUUUGAAUAAGGACCCGGCUAAUUCCGUGUCCAAGCAGCCGCGGUAAUACGGAAGGUCCGGGCGUUAUCCGGAUUUAUUGGGUUUAAAGGGAACGCAGCCGUGGGUUAAGCGUGUCGUGAAAUUCCGUCGCUCAACGGCGGACGUGCGGCGCGAACUGGUCCACUUGAGUACGCGGGACGUUGGCGGAAUUCGUGGUGUAGCGGUGAAAUGCUUAGAUAUCACGAAGAACUCCGAUUGCGAAGGCAGCUGUCGGUAGCGCAACUGACGCUGAGGAUCGAAAGUGCGGGUAUCGAACAGGAUUAGAUACCCUGGUAGACCGCACGGUAAACGAUGGAUGCCCGCUAUUCGCCCACCUGGGAGAGUGGCAAUGCGAAAGCGUUAAGCAUCCCACCUGGGGAGUACGCCGGCAACGGUGAAACUCAAAGGAAUUGACGGGGGCCCGCACAAGCGGAGGAACAUGUGGUUUAAUUCGAUGAUACGCGAGGAACCUUACCCGGGCUUGAAUUGCAGAGGAAGGAUUUAGAGAUAAUGACGCUUCGGGGCUUCUGUGAAGGUGCUGCAUGGUUGUCGUCAGCUCGUGCCGUGAGGUGUCGGCUUAAGUGCCAUAACGAGCGCAACCCCUCUCCGUAGUUGCCAUCGGGUGAUGCCGGGCACUCUGCGGACACUGCCACCGUAAGGUGUGAGGAAGGUGGGGAUGACGUCAAAUCAGCACGGCCCUUACGUCCGGGGCUACACACGUGUUACAAUGGGGCAUACAGAGCGCCGGCGGCCGGUAACGUCCGUCCAAUCGCGAAAGUGUCCCCCAGUUCGGACUGGGGUCUGCAACCCGACCCCACGAAGCUGGAUUCGCUAGUAAUCGCGCAUCAGCCAUGGCGCGGUGAAUACGUUCCCGGGCCUUGUACACACCGC